This 756-nucleotide ribosomal RNA is filed under the name uncultured Enterococcus sp. RNAcentral's name for it is "bacterial SSU rRNA". It matches the Rfam family "Bacterial small subunit ribosomal RNA", at positions 739 to 1502 of the family's 1533-position model. Lineage: Bacteria; Bacillati; Bacillota; Bacilli; Lactobacillales; Enterococcaceae. The record is from RNAcentral.
ACUGACGCUGAGGCUCGAAAGCGUGGGGAGCAAACAGGAUAGAUACCUGGUAGUCACGCCGUAAACGAUGAGUGCUAAGUGUUGGAGGUUUCCCCUUCAGUGCUGCAGCAAACGCAUUAAGCACUCCGCUGGGGAGUACGACCGCAAGGUUGAAACUCAAAGGAAUUGACGGGGGCCCGCACAAGCGGUGGAGCAUGUGGUUUAAUUCGAAGCAACGCGAAGAACCUUACCAGGUCUUGACAUCCUUUGACCACUCUAGAGAUAGAGCUUUCCCUUCGGGGACAAAGUGACAGGUGGUGCAUGGUUGUCGUCAGCUCGUGUCGUGAGAUGUUGGGUUAAGUCCCGCAACGAGCGCAACCCUUAUUGUUAGUUGCCAUCAUUUAGUUGGGCACUCUAGCGAGACUGCCGGUGACAAACCGGAGGAAGGUGGGGAUGACGUCAAAUCAUCAUGCCCCUUAUGACCUGGGCUACACACGUGCUACAAUGGGAAGUACAACGAGUCGCUAGGCCGCGAGGUCAUGCAAAUCUCUUAAAGCUUCUCUCAGUUCGGAUUGUAGGCUGCAACUCGCCUACAUGAAGCCGGAAUCGCUAGUAAUCGCGGAUCAGCACGCCGCGGUGAAUACGUUCCCGGGCCUUGUACACACCGCCCGUCACACCACGAAAGUUUGUAACACCCGAAGUCGGUGAGGUAACCUUUUGGAGCCAGCCGCCUAAGGUGGGAUAGAUGAUUGGGGUGAAGUCGUAACAAGGUAACCA